GACGAACGCUGGCGGCGUGCUUAACACAUGCAAGUCGAACGGAAAGGCCCUGCUUUUUUGGGGUGCUCGAGUGGCGAACGGGUGAGUAACACGUGAGUAACCUGCCCUUGACUUUGGGAUAACUUCAGGAAACUGGGGCUAAUCCCGGAUAGGAGCUCCUGCUGCAUGGUGGGCGUUGGAAAGUUUCGGCGGUUGGGGAUGGACGCGCGGCUUAUCAGCUUGUUGGUGGGGUAGUGGCUUACCAAGGCAUUGACGGAUAGCCGGCCUGAGAGGGUGACCGGGGACCUGAGGCCUGAGGGAGGGACCAGACGGGUAUGGGGGGCAGCAGGGGGGAAUAUGGCACAAUGGGAGGAAGCCGGAGGAAGCAACGCCGGGGGUGGGAAGACGGCCUUCGGGUUGUAAACCGCUGUCGCCUGUGACGAAGCGUGAGUGACGGUAAUGGGUAAAGAAGCACCGGCUAACUACGUG
This 468-nucleotide ribosomal RNA is filed under the name uncultured bacterium. RNAcentral describes it as "partial 16S ribosomal RNA". It matches the Rfam family "Bacterial small subunit ribosomal RNA", at positions 28 to 507 of the family's 1533-position model. The record is from RNAcentral.